This 478-nucleotide ribosomal RNA is filed under the name uncultured bacterium. Its description in RNAcentral is "bacterial SSU rRNA". It matches the Rfam family "Bacterial small subunit ribosomal RNA", at positions 15 to 475 of the family's 1533-position model. The record is from RNAcentral.
GAUCAUGGCUCAGGACGAACGCUGGCGGCGUGCCUAAUACAUGCAAGUCGAGCGGACAGAUGGGAGCUUGCUCCCUGAUGUUAGCGGCGGACGGGUGAGUAACACGUGGGUAACCUGCCUGUAAGACUGGGAUAACUCCGGGAAACCGGGGCUAAUACCGGAUGGUUGUUUGAACCGCAUGGUUCAGACAUAAAAGGUGGCUUCGGCUACCACUUACAGAUGGACCCGCGGCGCAUUAGCUAGUUGGUGAGGUAACGGCUCACCAAGGCGACGAUGCGUAGCCGACCUGAGAGGGUGAUCGGCCACACUGGGACUGAGACACGGCCCAGACUCCUACGGGAGGCAGCAGUAGGGAAUCUUCCGCAAUGGACGAAAGUCUGACGGAGCAACGCCGCGUGAGUGAUGAAGGUUUUCGGAUCGUAAAGCUCUGUUGUUAGGGAAGAACAAGUGCCGUUCAAAUAGGGCGGCACCUUGACGG